Small nuclear RNA from Poeciliopsis prolifica (blackstripe livebearer), 140 nucleotides. RefSeq annotates it as U4 spliceosomal RNA. NCBI's taxonomy places the organism in Eukaryota, Metazoa, Chordata, Actinopteri, Cyprinodontiformes, Poeciliidae. The record is from RefSeq and is a predicted model, not a curated record. The transcript has a single exon.
AUCUUUGCGCAGUGGCAGUAUCGUAACCAAUGAGGUCAAACCGAGGUGCGAUUAUUGCCAGUUGAAAACUUUACCCAAUACCCGCCUUGACGAUGUGAAACAUAAUCAACAAUGGCAAUUUUUGACGGUCUCCGAGUAGG